CUUGGCAACAUGGUAAAGGCAGAAUUGUAACCUUCUCGUGACCAUUUUGUUUAUUUUUGUUUUAGUGUUUCUGCCUUGUAUGUGUUUAUUCUGCAUUUCCUUUCAGUACUGUCAUAUUACAGUCUAAAUCACGUCAUAGAAAGGGCAACUCAAUAUUACAGAUACACAAAAAUUAAGAUUUUCCUCAGAUAACUGAAUUCUGUAAAAAU
Molecule: long non-coding RNA, 209 nt
Filed under: Mytilus galloprovincialis (Mediterranean mussel)
Lineage: Eukaryota; Metazoa; Mollusca; Bivalvia; Mytilida; Mytilidae
Source: RNAcentral